GGUACUGCUUAGGUGGAACGAGAUCCUCUACCAUCACGCCCACUGAUGGCUCUCUGCAGUCACGCGCAUCCGGUCCAUCCGCUCGCAUCCUAUGGUGACCAGCGCAUACCAGCUCCUUUCCUUCACGUAUUGGGCUUCGGCUCAACACAACACGGCCCAAACUCCACGGAGCCAUCGGCUGCUAGUAUUUUUGGCGCGAGUACUCCUAUUUUUGGCGCGACGGCGCCUCUUUCUGGUGCAAGCGCGACGGCGCCGGAUGCAACGGCGAGUCUUGAGGGCGGCGGUCGCCUGCAGCGAUCUCGUUUGCCAUCGUGGAAGCACCAGAUUCUGUGUUCCUACAACAAAAAGAAAUCUGCAUAUAUGAGAUGGAAGCAAAUAGGGAGGGUUUGCUGUCUGGUUUGCUGCCGCAAGUUGGCAUGGAGUUCAAUACUGUAGAAGAGGCUUGGAUGUUUGAACUAGCUAUGGAGGUCAAAAAAGAUUUGAGGUUAGAAAAAGGUUCUCAAAUAAAAGAAAGUCCGAGGGAAGGUUAGGUCCUGCAGAUAUGUUUGUGCAAAUGAAAGGAAGAUAAAAGGAAUCAUCUAACAGAGUGUCCAAGAGCUGAAACUAUAAAAGGGAUCAUCUAACAGUUGACACUGAUGCUUUGCUAGAGAGCAAUACAACAUUCUGUGCUUUUCAGUGACAACUUGCAAUGUAUACAAUUUGCAGGAACAUUUGUGCAUUCCAGUGAUAAUUUUCAAGCCAUACAUUUUGCAGAA
Long non-coding RNA from Panicum virgatum (switchgrass), 755 nucleotides. RefSeq lists it as uncharacterized. Lineage: Eukaryota; Viridiplantae; Streptophyta; Magnoliopsida; Poales; Poaceae. The record is from RefSeq and is a predicted model, not a curated record. The transcript has 3 exons.